Long non-coding RNA from Triticum aestivum (bread wheat), 967 nucleotides. RefSeq lists it as uncharacterized. Lineage: Eukaryota; Viridiplantae; Streptophyta; Magnoliopsida; Poales; Poaceae. The record is from RefSeq and is a predicted model, not a curated record. The transcript is spliced from 2 exons.
UAAUAAUAUAACAAAUUUCCCGUGUGCUUCCACCCUUGGCGGAUGGGGCUAGUAUAGAAUCUAGGCAUACGGUGAAAGAAUAGAAAAAAGAUCCUGGGCUGUUGGAUCAUUGAUGUACGCUACUGAUUCAUGAGGAUAGAUCUGUAUUCAUAACGACACAACUCUGUGCAAAUAUGUCCCUGUGCUCCCAGUAAUUUGCGUCAGGUCCCUCCCCUUCAAACAGACUCUCUCUGUCGCUCGCUUCACCGUUCCCCAACAAUCCCUCGUCGACGGGGGCGGCGGCCAGGCAGAUCCGGUGCUUCCCUGGUCGACGACAGCUACUCCCACGGCACCUGCUCCCUGCCUCGUCCCCUUCUACUCCGGCAUCCAUGUCUCUUGGGGCCGUCCCCAGGGCAACAUCACGCUGCGCAUCGUCGUCAGCGACCGGGCCACCGCUGCCGCCACGGUCUCCUCCUCCCUGGUGGCCGCGGGCGGUCCGCCCGCUCAGCUGCAUAUUCUAGAUCUGGAGGCAACCUGGUACUGGUCUAGUGCGCCGUGAUGCUGCCACGGUCUCCUCCCCGGUGCUCCUAGAUCCAAUAAUAUCUCACCGGAGGCAAGCCGGUGGUGCUCGAUCUCCUCGCCUCCUUCACCUCGCAGGAUCAGCAGCUAGGUUUGAUCUCUCCCAGCACAAGAAGCUCGAUGAGCAAUAAGCACUAGUAAUGGAGGCAGAGGCAAUAGCUUUUCUGUUAUGUGCCAUCAAGUAGCAAAAGUUGAUGCAAUGUGAUUAUUUUGGUCCUUCAUAAUUAGUUUUGCAUGAGAUGUACCGAAAAUGAUCCUUGCAUGCUAUGUUACACUUGAUAAGUUAUGUAUGUGUGUCUCUUCUGUUGUGUUUGGUCCGCGAUCAUGCAAUUUGAAAUGUAUGUUUAGUUAUGAUUUCAAGUGGAUAGAUUAAUGUUCUCAUGUACUCUAGUAUUGGUGAUGAUCUUCA